GGUGAACGCUGGCGGCGUGCCUAACACAUGCAAGUCGAGCGGUGCAGUUUGAAGCUUCGGUGGAAAGCUGCAUAGCGGCGGACGGGUGAGGAAAACGUAGGAACGUGCCCCUUGGAGUUGGAUAGCCACGGGAAACUGUGGGUAAACCGACAUAGACUCGAGAGAGUAAAGGCCGAAAGGCGCCAAGGGAGCGGCCUGCGGCCCAUCAGGUAGUUGGUAGUGUAAAGGACUACCAAGCCGACGACGGGUAGCCGGUCUGAGAGGAUGGCCGGCCACAAGGGCACUGAGAGACGGGCCCUACUCCUACGGGAGGCAGCAGUCGAGAAUAGUCUACAAUGGUCGGAAGACUGAUAGUGCGACGCCGCGUGAACGAUGAAUCCCUUCGGGGUGUAAAGUUCUUUUAUAUGUGAGCAGUGCUUCUUAUAUUAACAGUAUGGGGAGAGAGAUAUUAGCAUAUGAAUAAGCAACGGCUAACUCCGUGCCAGCAGCCGCGGUAAUCUCGU
RNAcentral lists this ribosomal RNA (503 nucleotides) under uncultured bacterium. Its description in RNAcentral is "bacterial SSU rRNA". It matches the Rfam family "Bacterial small subunit ribosomal RNA", at positions 28 to 528 of the family's 1533-position model. The record is from RNAcentral.